GUUGUGAGGCCAUACAAUCCUGAACAUGUCUGAUCUCAUCUGAUCUCAGAACUUAAGCAGGAUUGAGCCUAGACACAAUAAGGAUGGGCAACUGAGGCUGCAUUCUGUAGUAUUUAGGGUCCUCCAUCA
RNAcentral lists this ribosomal RNA (129 nucleotides) under Jaculus jaculus (lesser Egyptian jerboa). Lineage: Eukaryota; Metazoa; Chordata; Mammalia; Rodentia; Dipodidae. The record is from RNAcentral.